UCCACAAUGGGCGAAAGCCUGAUGGAUCAACGCCGCGUCAGUGCAGAAGGUUUUCGGAUCGUAAAACUCUGUUGUAAGGGAAGAACAAGUACAGUAGUAACUGGCUGUACCUUGACUGUACCUUAUUAGUAAGCCCCGGCUAACUACGUGCCAGCAGCCGCGGUAAUACGUAGGCGGCAAGCGUUGUCCGGAAUGAUUGGGCGUAAAGCGCGCGCAGGCGGUCCUUUAAGUCUGAUGUGAAAGACCACGGAUAAACCGUGGAGGGUCAUUGGAAACUGGGGGACUUGAGUGCAGAAGAGGAAAGUGGAAUUCCAAGUGUAGCGGUGAAAUGCGUAGAGAUUUGGAGGAACACCAGUGGCGAAGGCGACUUUCUGGUCUGUAACUGACGCUGAGGCGAGAAAGCGUGGGGAGCAAACAGG
RNAcentral lists this ribosomal RNA (419 nucleotides) under uncultured bacterium. RNAcentral describes it as "partial 16S ribosomal RNA". It matches the Rfam family "Bacterial small subunit ribosomal RNA", at positions 365 to 776 of the family's 1533-position model. The record is from RNAcentral.